Molecule: ribosomal RNA, 676 nt
Filed under: uncultured soil bacterium
Lineage: Bacteria
Description: bacterial SSU rRNA
Rfam family: Bacterial small subunit ribosomal RNA
Source: RNAcentral
AUGCAAGUCGAACGGUCACAUUUCGGUGUGAUAGUGGCGGACGGGUGAGUAACACGUAGUUAACCUACCCAACAGUGGGGAAUAACCCCUCGAAAGAGGAGCUAAUACCGCAUACGCUCUCUUGUGCUAGCAGGAGAGGAAACCUUGUCUUCGGACUGGGGCUGAUGGAUGGGACUGCGGCGGAUUAGCUAGAUGGUGGGGUAACGGCCUACCAUGGCGACGAUCCGUAGCUGGUCUGAGAGGACGAUCAGCCACACUGGGACUGAGACACGGCCCAGACUCCUACGGGAGGCAGCAGUAAGGAAUAUUCCACAAUGGGCGAAAGCCUGAUGGAGCGACGCCGCGUGCGGGAAGACGCCUUUCGGGGUGUAAACCGCUUUUCUCGGGGAUGAAACGAGGGGGUAACCCCUCUAAGACAGUACCUGAGGAAUAAGCAUCGGCUAACUACGUGCCAGCAGCCGCGGUAAUACGUAGGAUGCAAGCGUUGUCCGGAUUUACUGGGCGUAAAGCGCGCGCAGGCGGCACACCAAGUACCCUAUGAAAUCUCCUUGCUCAACGGGGAGGGUGUUGGGUAGACUGGUGAGCUAGAGGACGGUAGAGGGGGGUAGAAUUGCUGGUGUAGCGGUGAAAUGCGUAGAGAUCAGCAGGAAUACCCGUGGCGAAGGCGGCCCCCUGG